GAUGAACGCUGGCGGCGUGCCUAAUACAUGCAAGUCGAGCGAAUGGAUUAAGAGCUUGCUCUUAUGAAGUUAGCGGCGGACGGGUGAGUAACACGUGGGUAACCUGCCCAUAAGACUAGGAUAACUCCGGGAAACCGGGGCUAAUACCGGAUAACAUUUUGAACCGCAUGGUUCGAAAUUGAAAGGCGGCUUCGGCUGUCACUUAUGGAUGGCCCCGCGUCGCAUUAGCUAGUUGGUGAGGUAACGGCUCACCAAGGCAACGAUGCGUAGCCGACCUGAGAGGGUGAUCGGCCACACUGGGACUGAGACACGGCCCAGACUCCUACGGGAGGCAGCAGUAGGGAAUCUUCCGCAAUGGACGAAAGUCUUACGGAGCAACGCCGCGUGAGUGAUGAAGGCUUUCGGGUCGUAAAACUCUGUUGUUAGGGAAGAACAAGUGCUAGUUGAAUAAGCUGGCACCUUGACGGUACCUAACCAGAAAGCCACGGCUAACUACGUGCCAGCCGCCGCGGUAA
Molecule: ribosomal RNA, 515 nt
Filed under: uncultured bacterium
Lineage: Bacteria
Description: partial 16S ribosomal RNA
Rfam family: Bacterial small subunit ribosomal RNA
Source: RNAcentral